CUCACAAUGGCUGGGAAGGGGGAGCAGCAUUCAGGUACUCCAACAAGAACCUGUGCCCACCUGGCUUCAAGACUCCCAAUUUAGCUCCACCUUUUAAAGGUACAGCACCUCCCAACUGCACUGUGACUAGACCGGAGGACCAGAAUCUGAAGCGCAGGACCUGAUGUCUAUGAAUAGCGGGUCUCACACUGUGGUGCAGGUGGGCCUUGAACUCCCUGUGCAACCCAGGCUGGCCUUGAACUUGUGGCAACCCUCCUGCUCCAGCCUCCCGAGUGUUAGGACUACAGAGUUUGGCACUGCUGGGAAACUGCUGUGACCGUGGCUUGAUCCUGAUGCUGCUGUCCUCCGAGCGCCCGGACGGAGUUCUGAGUAGAAGGUGGUGGCGAAGCAGAAGAGGUAAAGUAGGUGCAGAGGAGCCAAGGAU
Long non-coding RNA from Cavia porcellus (domestic guinea pig), 424 nucleotides. RefSeq lists it as uncharacterized. The record is from RefSeq and is a predicted model, not a curated record. The transcript has 3 exons. Lineage: Eukaryota; Metazoa; Chordata; Mammalia; Rodentia; Caviidae.